RNAcentral lists this transfer RNA (72 nucleotides) under Ophiocordyceps sinensis CO18. Its description in RNAcentral is "tRNA-Thr (TGT) (tRNA-Thr-TGT-1-1)". It matches the Rfam family "tRNA". From Rfam's summary of the family: Transfer RNA (tRNA) molecules are approximately 80 nucleotides in length. Their secondary structure includes four short double-helical elements and three loops (D, anti-codon, and T loops). Further hydrogen bonds mediate the characteristic L-shaped molecular structure. tRNAs have two regions of fundamental functional importance: the anti-codon, which is responsible for specific mRNA codon recognition, and the 3' end, to which the tRNAs corresponding amino acid is attached (by aminoacyl-tRNA synthetases). tRNAs cope with the degeneracy of the genetic code in two manners: having more than one tRNA (with a specific anti-codon) for a particular amino acid; and 'wobble' base-pairing, i.e. permitting non-standard base-pairing at the 3rd anti-codon position. The record is from RNAcentral. Lineage: Eukaryota; Fungi; Ascomycota; Sordariomycetes; Hypocreales; Ophiocordycipitaceae.
GCCCUUGUAGCUUAGGGGUAGAGCGUUGCACUUGUAAUGCAAAGGUCGGCGGUUCAAUUCCGCCCGGGGGCA